This 917-nucleotide ribosomal RNA is filed under the name uncultured bacterium. RNAcentral describes it as "bacterial SSU rRNA". It matches the Rfam family "Bacterial small subunit ribosomal RNA", at positions 8 to 916 of the family's 1533-position model. The record is from RNAcentral.
AGAGUUUGAUCCUGGCUCAGAUUGAACGCUGGCGGAAUGCUUUACACAUGCAAGUCGAACGGCAGCACGGGUGCUUGCACCUGGUGGCGAGUGGCGAACGGGUGAGUAAUGCGUCGGAACGUACCGAGUAAUGGGGGAUAACGCAGCGAAAGUUGUGCUAAUACCGCAUACGCCCUGAGGGGGAAAGUGGGGGAUCGCAAGACCUCACGUUAUUCGAGCGGCCGACGCCUGAUUAGCUAGUUGGUGAGGUAAUGGCUCACCAAGGCGACGAUCAGUAGCGGGUCUGAGAGGAUGAUCCGCCACACUGGGACUGAGACACGGCCCAGACUCCUACGGGAGGCAGCAGUGGGGAAUUUUGGACAAUGGGGGCAACCCUGAUCCAGCCAUUCCGCGUGAGUGAAGAAGGCCUUCGGGUUGUAAAGCUCUUUCAGUUGGAACGAAACGGUACGCUCUAACAUAGCGUGCUAAUGACGGUACCGACAGAAGAAGCACCGGCUAACUACGUGCCAGCAGCCGCGGUAAUACGUAGGGUGCGAGCGUUAAUCGGAAUUACUGGGCGUAAAGCGUGCGCAGGCGGAUUGUUAAGCAAGACGUGAAAUCCCCGGGCUUAACCUGGGAAUGGCGUUUUGAACUGGCAGUCUAGAGUGUGUCAGAGGGGGGUGGAAUUCCACGUGUAGCAGUGAAAUGCGUAGAGAUGUGGAGGAACACCGAUGGCGAAGGCAGCCCCCUGGGAUAACACUGACGCUCAUGUACGAAAGCGUGGGUAGCAAACAGGAUUAGAUACCCUGGUAGUCCACGCUGUAAACGAUGGAUACUAGGUGUUGGUGGCCCUUUACCCCACCAGUGCCGAAGCUAACGCGAUAAGUAUCCCACCUGGGGACUACGGUCGCAAGACUAAAACUCAAAGGAAUUGACGG